This 373-nucleotide ribosomal RNA is filed under the name uncultured organism. RNAcentral's name for it is "bacterial SSU rRNA". It matches the Rfam family "Bacterial small subunit ribosomal RNA", at positions 526 to 896 of the family's 1533-position model. The record is from RNAcentral.
CGUAGGAGACGAGCGUUAUCCGGAUUUACUGGGCGUAAAGCGUGUGCAGGCGGUUCGGCAAGUUGGAUGUGAAAUCUCCCGGCUCAACUGGGAGGGGUCGUUCAAAACUACCGAACUUGAGGUCAUCAGAGGAAGGUGGAAUUCCGGGUGUAGUGGUGAAAUGCGUAGAUAUCCGGAGGAACACCAGUGGCGAAGGCGGCCUUCUGGGAUGAUCCUGACGCUCAGACACGAAAGCUAGGGGAGCGAACGGGAUUAGAGACCCCGGUAGUCCUAGCUGUAAACGAUGUAGACUUGGCGUCGGUAGGGUUCAAAACCUUCGGUGUCGUAGCUAACGCGAUAAGUCUACCGCCUGGGGACUACGGCCGCAAGGUUA